ACAAACCCACAGCCACCGGAGGAAGAGAGAGAAUGCCUGCAUGAUAAUCGUGGGGGCAGGGGCUCAGGGGCUCAGGGAGGCCUCUUUGAGGAGAUGGUCUUAACAUCUGAGAGCUGAGAAGAAUUCAGCCUCACAAAGCCCAGAGACCCGGGUCCCCAGGAGGGAGAUGGGGCUGGGAGACGCGGUGGAGUGGCCAGGCCAGGAGUGGCCCGCAGGAUUGGAGCCUGGCAGGUCACUGGGGAGUCUCCUGCUUGUCCCAGAGCCAGUGUCAGUGAGAGCUGGGUGGCGGGGCCAGCGGGAGGCUGAGGGACCCAGGGUCCGGGAGUGUGGGAAGUGAGAGCAGCCUCUCCUUGGUUCCUCGGCAGCCCGGGGCCUCACCCCUGCAAGGUCUGGGUGGCCACCGCUUGCAGGGCCGUCCCUCUGGGAGUGGGUAGAGGGGACAGGGGACCCUGGGACAACCUUCGCCCCUCCGAAGGCAAGACCUUGUCGCGUUCAUGCUCCAGCCCUUUCCCAUCUGGGUUCCUCCUGUGUGCUGGGAGCGCGUGGCCUUCUGAGAACAGGGCAGCAUGGUGGACGGGCGAGCGCGGCACGGCGAGGUCCGAGCCCCCGGCUGCUCUCCCCAGCCCUGAGAACACAGGCUGCUCCAUAAGCUCUGUGGGCCUCAGGCUCCUGGUCUCUAGAAUGUAGCCAUGGGCAGGCUACCCAGAAGUGAGAUGCCUGCCCAAAAAAGCCCUGUGCCCAGCCCACAGCCAGCACUUGGUUCAUUGGGCCCCAGCUCAAAACCCCCCCCGAGAGGCCUGCCCUGAGCACCGUCCCUGUCCCUGUGUGCCCUUUCAGUCACAAGUCAGCAGCACGCAGCCACCCACCGAGGCUGAGCCUCUUCAAAUUCGCUUCGAUGUUUGCCGCGCACUGACUCAGGUCUCCAGGCCUCAGUUUCCUCACCCGCGAACUAGGGGCGGUCUCUGGGGACUGUUCUAAGGGCCUGUCUUGUGUGACGCUGUGUGCCACCCCACACAUCUUCAACCCCGGAGAAAGAUUCUGGUGGUGGAAGCUGUUGAGUAAAUGCUCACUUGAGUUUCUCCCACUGCCUUGGAGUCCCUCUUCUGUUUUUCUCCAAAUUCUCUUUGUUGACAGAGUACACAGUUCAAAACCCCACACAGGGAUGAACGAGAGGACGCCCAGGUCCAGCCCAGCAGCGGCUUCCUGUCCCUUCCACCUCUCUCUUUCCCUCUGCCACUGCCAUCUACUGGGACGCUCUUCCUGGGCCCCUGUAGGACAAGGACUGCCUGUGGCUGAGGUCCCCUCCAUGCAGAACAUACAGCACAGGUGUGCCCCAAAGAGGAACAGAGAGAAGGAGGAGGAGGGUCCAAGAGAGAUUUGGAAAUGAAUGCCAGGAAGCUCAGGCGCUGGACGUGCGUUUGGGGCGCCUGGCCUUUCC
Molecule: long non-coding RNA, 1438 nt
Filed under: Theropithecus gelada (gelada)
Lineage: Eukaryota; Metazoa; Chordata; Mammalia; Primates; Cercopithecidae
Description: lncRNA (ENSTGEG00000016563.1)
Source: RNAcentral